UACGUAGGUGGCAAGCGUUGUCCGGAUUUAUUGGGCGUAAAGCGAGCGCAGGCGGUUUCUUAAGUCUGAUGUGAAAGCCUUCGGCUCAACCGAAGAAGUGCAUCGGAAACUGGGAAACUUGAGUGCAGAAGAGGACAGUGGAACUCCAUGUGUAGCGGUGAAAUGCGUAGAUAUAUGGAAGAACACCAGUGGCGAAGGCGGCUGUCUGGUCUGUAACUGACGCUGAGGCUCGAAAGCAUGGGUAG
Molecule: ribosomal RNA, 245 nt
Filed under: uncultured Lactobacillus sp.
Lineage: Bacteria; Bacillati; Bacillota; Bacilli; Lactobacillales; Lactobacillaceae
Description: partial 16S ribosomal RNA
Rfam family: Bacterial small subunit ribosomal RNA
Source: RNAcentral